Molecule: unclassified non-coding RNA, 363 nt
Filed under: uncultured bacterium
Lineage: Bacteria
Description: contains 16S-23S intergenic spacer region
Source: RNAcentral
UCCCUGUUGCCAGGGCAGUCUGUUUAGAAAAAUACAACUAAACAAAGGGGUUGCGCUCGUUAAAGGACUUAACCUAACAUCUCACGACACGAGCUGACGACGGCCAUGCAACACCUGUCACUUGGCUUCCGAAGACACUUUCUCCUUUCGGAGAAAUUCCAAGGAUGUCAAGCCUGGGUAAGGUUCUUCGCUUACCAUCGAAUUAAACAACACGCUCCACCGCUUGUGCGGGUCCCCGUCAAUUCCUUUAUGUUUUAGUCUUGCGACCGUACUCCACAGGCGGGACGCUUAACGCGUUAGCUUCGCUACAAGAAGGGUCGAUACUUCUUACAGCUAGCGUCCAUAGUUUACAGCGUGGACUAC